Molecule: ribosomal RNA, 450 nt
Filed under: uncultured bacterium
Lineage: Bacteria
Description: partial 16S ribosomal RNA
Rfam family: Bacterial small subunit ribosomal RNA
Source: RNAcentral
GUGGGGAAUUUUGGACAAUGGGCGCAAGCCUGAUCCAGCCAUGCCGCGUGCAGGAUGAAGGCCUUCGGGUUGUAAACUGCUUUUGUACGGAACGAAAAGACUUCUUCUAAUACAGGAGGUCCAUGACGGUACCGUAAGAAUAAGCACCGGCUAACUACGUGCCAGCAGCCGCGGUAAUACGUAGGGUGCAAGCGUUAAUCGGAAUUACUGGGCGUAAAGCGUGCGCAGGCGGUUAUAUAAGACAGAUGUGAAAUCCCCGGGCUCAACCUGGGAACUGCAUUUGUGACUGUAUAGCUAGAGUACGGUAGAGGGGGAUGGAAUUCCGCGUGUAGCAGUGAAAUGCGUAGAUAUGCGGAGGAACACCGAUGGCGAAGGCAAUCCCCUGGACCUGUACUGACGCUCAUGCACGAAAGCGUGGGGAGCAAACAGGAUUAGAAACCCUAGUAGUCC